This 834-nucleotide ribosomal RNA is filed under the name uncultured bacterium. Its description in RNAcentral is "bacterial SSU rRNA". It matches the Rfam family "Bacterial small subunit ribosomal RNA", at positions 689 to 1533 of the family's 1533-position model. The record is from RNAcentral.
CAGAAAAAAAACAAAAAAAACCGAUUCGCAAAGGACCUUACUAAGCUAUAAUUGACGCUAGAUGCACGACCCGCUUGGGUAGUGAACAGGAUUAGAUACCCUGGUAGUCCACGCCGUAAACGAUGAUUACUCGUUGUUGGCAAUACAUAGUCAGCGACUGAGCGAAAGCAUUAAGUAAUCCACCUGGGGAGUACGUUGGCAACAAUGAAACUCAAAGGAAUUGACGGGGGCCCGCACAAGCGGAGGAACAUGUGGUUUAAUUCGAUGAUACGCGAGGAACCUUACCUGGACUUAAAUGUAGAUUGACAGGACUAGAGAUAGUUUUUUCUUCGGACAAUUUACAAGGUGCUGCAUGGUUGUCGUCAGCUCGUGCCGUGAGGUGUCGGGUUAAGUCCCAUAACGAGCGCAACCCCUAUUUUUAGUUACCAGCACGUGAAGGUGGGGACUCUAGAAAGACUGCCUGGGUAACCAGGGAGGAAGGUGGGGAUGACGUCAAAUCAGCACGGCCCUUACGUCCAGGGCUACACACGUGUUACAAUGGUCGGUACAGAGGGCAGCUACAUGGCAACAUGAUGCUAAUCUCGAAAGCCGGCCUCAGUUCGGAUCGGAGUCUGCAACUCGACUCCGUGAAGCUGGAUUCGCUAGUAAUCGCAUAUCAGCCAUGAUGCGGUGAAUGCGUUCCCGGGCCUUGUACACACCGCCCGUCAAACCAUGGAAGUUGAGGGUACCUGAAGUCUGUUACCGAGAGGAGCGGCCUAGGGUAAAAUCGAUAACUAGGGUUAAGUCGUAACAAGGUAGCCGUACCGGAAGGUGUGGCUGGAUCACCUCCUUUCU